Molecule: microRNA precursor, 88 nt
Filed under: Mus spretus (western wild mouse)
Lineage: Eukaryota; Metazoa; Chordata; Mammalia; Rodentia; Muridae
Description: microRNA 680-3 (ENSMSPG00010006184.1)
Source: RNAcentral
GGGGAAUUUAACAAAGAACAAAAAAGGUGGGCAUCUGCUGACAUGGGGGGGCGAAGUCAGGCUCUAGGCGGCGGGUACUCUGCAUCUU